RNAcentral lists this long non-coding RNA (460 nucleotides) under Ganoderma lucidum. Its description in RNAcentral is "long non-coding RNA (GLUC_LNC000005)". Lineage: Eukaryota; Fungi; Basidiomycota; Agaricomycetes; Polyporales; Polyporaceae. The record is from RNAcentral.
ACAGGGUCCUCGGUUCACAUCCAGCUGCGAUCUCCUCCCAUACCACAUAUGCAACCUGACAUCUGGACCAAUACAGAAGUGUUCGCCCUUGAGCGACAUCUGGAUGCCCGUCUUCUCCCCUGCUACCUUUUCCAAAUCAUCGACGAAGUAAAGGCUUCCACCAGCCGGGAAGGGGAUCGACAUGAUGUGGGACUCGAGCUUAACAAGCUGACGCAAGACGGAUGCGAGAUCCGCUUCCUUUAACUGCAUCCACAGGUCGGUGAGCUUCGUACCCUUCACGAACUCCAUGAAAAUGUACUCGGUCUUCGCAGCGUUGUCCGAUGUAGGAGAGUAGCCGUACACCUUGGGAACGGGCAGGUCAUGGGCACGGAGGAAGGCCAUCGUGGCAACCUCACUGGCAACGGCGUAGAACUUGGGUUGCGUGACGGGGUACGGGAUGCGAGCGAUCAUCUGGAACCCG